AUUUUACAUAGCGCUGCAGAUGUGGCUGCUGUGUCACAUUUGUGUUAUUAGGUGGCAGAGAGAAGAGAGGCUAUGUCUAUGCUCAGUGUUCUGCCCCAUGAACAUUUGAAUGUUUCAUAGUCAGACACU
Small nucleolar RNA from Gorilla gorilla gorilla (western lowland gorilla), 129 nucleotides. The record is from Ensembl. NCBI's taxonomy places the organism in Eukaryota, Metazoa, Chordata, Mammalia, Primates, Hominidae.